CCUACGGGUGGCAGCAGUGGGGAAUAUUGCACAAUGGGGGAAACCCUGAUGCAGCGACGCCGCGUGAGUGAAGAAGUAAUUCGUUACGUAAAGCUCUAUCAGCAGGGAAGAAACACUGACCUUACGGUCAGCAGACGGUACCUGAGUAAGAAGCCCCGGCUAACUACGUGCCAGCAGCCGCGGUAAUACGUAGGUGGCAAGCGUUGUUCGGAAUAACUGGGCGUAAAGGAUGCGUAGGCGGUUAAGCAAGUUAUAUGUUAAAUAUAUAGGCUUAACCUGUAGAAAGCAUAUAAAACUGUUUAACUAGAGUGCAGGAGAGGUAAGUGGAAUUCCUAGUGUAGCGGUGAAAUGCGUAGAGAUUAGGAAGAACACCAGUGGCGAAGGCGACUUACUGGACUGUAACUGACGCUGAGGCAUGAGAGCAUGGGGAGCAAACAGGAUUAGAUACCCCAGUAGUC
Molecule: ribosomal RNA, 458 nt
Filed under: uncultured bacterium
Lineage: Bacteria
Description: partial 16S ribosomal RNA
Rfam family: Bacterial small subunit ribosomal RNA
Source: RNAcentral